This 148-nucleotide non-coding RNA is filed under the name Gorilla gorilla gorilla (western lowland gorilla). Lineage: Eukaryota; Metazoa; Chordata; Mammalia; Primates; Hominidae. The record is from Rfam by way of RNAcentral.
GCUGGGCGUGGUGACGUGCGCCUGUAAUCCCAGCUACUUGGGAGGCUGAGGCAUGAGAAUCACUUGAACCCAGGAGGUGGAGGUUGCAGUGAGCCAGGAUCGCACCACUGCACUCCAGCCUGGGCAAUAGAGCGAGACUCUGUCUCUA